UACGUAGGUGGCAAGCGUUGUCCGGAUUUAUUGGGUUUAAAGGGUGCGUAGGCGGUCUUUUAAGUCAGUGCUGAAAUAUCCCGGCUUAACCGGGAGGGUGGCAUUGAUACUGAAGGACUUGAGUACAGUCGAGGUAGGCGGAAUCGACGGUGUAGCGGUGAAAUGCUUAGAUAUCGUCAAGAACACCGAUAGUGUAGACAGCUUACUAGGCUGAAACUGACGCUGAGGCACGAAAGUGUGGGGAUCAAACAGG
RNAcentral lists this ribosomal RNA (253 nucleotides) under uncultured bacterium. Its description in RNAcentral is "partial 16S ribosomal RNA". It matches the Rfam family "Bacterial small subunit ribosomal RNA", at positions 524 to 776 of the family's 1533-position model. The record is from RNAcentral.